UCGUCAUAUGAGUGAAUCUAAUGAUUAAUUGCUUGCCUACAACACAAAAGAAGUUUUUGAGGAUGAUACUAGGGAACCCAAGUGAAUUUUACCCAAAACCUUCCCUGAAAAUAAAUAAAUAAGUUCGAAUGUCAAUAUUUCAAUAGCUUUGAUAGAAGAGAGACAUAUAUGAUCACUCCACUAAGUCAAGCAACAUAAAACUGCCAAUCCAUCUUAAUAACCCACUUGCUCAGCCAUGCUGCUAUAAAAGAGGUUUCUCAAUUUGUCAUAACAUCUAUCUGAGAUCUCCAAUUGUCCAAUCAUUGUAAAUUGCUAGUAAGGACUGAGUACUUUUGACUCCCUUUAAAAUGUUGAAGAGAUUGCUAUAAGUAAUCCUAAACAAUGUGUUAAAUCCAAAAUUAACUAUCCACCACCACCAGCAACACAUAAAAGAAGAAAGAAAAUACAAAUAAAUGAUCAAAAGUACCAUAAACUGCUAAAGGCUAGCAAAUAAAUCAUGUAAAGGCUACUUAUAUCGUUCCCACCACUAUUCUAUUUCCAAUAAAUCCGAACAAUAAUAGUUAUAAAUAUAUUCAGUGAGCUAAACUAUCAUUUGCCUCCCCACUUCUGUCCAAAAUAGAUAAACUUCUCCAAUUCAUCCACCAUGUCCAUUUCAUCUCAACUGACCUUUUAAUGAAAUCAUGCAGAACUUUUAGGUCCACUCUCUGCAUAGCUUCAAUGGUGCAAGUAAAUAACUACAGGUAGUACAGCACAGUACACCCUUAUUUAAGUGCUCCACCAAUCAUUUGCAUUGCAAGCCUCCUCCAAAUAGAAAUACACAAUCAGCUUAAAAACCACCAGCAGCAACAAACUUUAUGAUGCCGUUACAAUUUAAUAAACAAUCACCUAGACAAUAUAUAAAACCUUCAAUGCAUGUAUCUACUUCUACGCUUAGCACUUCCUUUUAAAGAAAAGAGUCAUAAACAUCUGCCACAAUCUAGUUCCUUUAUUAUGAAGACAGCUUAACAAUAACAGCAAUUUUACUGGGAGAGGUGCAAUAAGAUUAUCACAAGCACAGGAAAACAUAUUGCACGUAGAGUUUGCUUAUAAACCCAAGGAUCCACUGCACAUCACAUCAAAUCCAUCAAAGACUUUAAUCCUUCUUGGUCUUUCUUUGUAGAAGUAAUGUUUUUACUAAUAUCAACACUUUCUAUGUAAUAGUAAGGAGUUACUGUCAAACAGUUUUAACUCUACAUUUUGAAUUUGAAGCAUCUAGCAAAAAUACCAUGUUAUAACAUGAAUGUGUCUGAAAUGAAACGCCAAAAUUGACGUCAAGCUUAACUAAUAGCAGAACUUACAGGCCAAUAACAGAACAAACCCAAUGUAUUUCAUCAUCUCCUAUUCUAAGUACCUGUUUGGCAUUGAGUUUGGAGGUAAAAAAGUGUUUUUCAAAAAAAGCACCAUUUUAGAUGCCGUUGAAGAAAGCAGUUUGGAAAAAAAUUGUUUUGGUGUUCUUAUAACUAAAUUAUGUCAAAAAUAAUUUUUAAUUUUUUUUUAAAUUUUUUUUAAAAAGGGCUUUUCCCCAAUGCAAUUCUAACAGCAAUGUCAAACAGGCCUAACUGCUUACGCCUAUUUCUCACAUAUUCCCACAUUUAAUCUCAAUUUUCUCUACAAAGUUUCCCUAUGACAAAAGAUCUAACUUUUCACUUCCUCUUCAACCAGAAGUUAUACUUCAAACUUCACUGAUCCUAAAUUAUCAAUAUUUGCUAAAUAUCACAUUAUCCACCUCCAAAACCUUCCAUUGACCUCGAGAGAGGGAUACCCAAAGAGGCAAAAAUCUAAAGCAAUCCAAUAUAACAAACCCAGGUUUUAAAAAUCCUCUUACUUUUGGGAGCGUGAAGAAAUACAAAAAUCCAAACUACACAACACAG
This 1910-nucleotide long non-coding RNA is filed under the name Manihot esculenta (cassava). RNAcentral's name for it is "long non-coding RNA (MESC_LNC004175)". The record is from RNAcentral. Lineage: Eukaryota; Viridiplantae; Streptophyta; Magnoliopsida; Malpighiales; Euphorbiaceae.